AUUGAACGCUGGCGGCAUGCUUUACACAUGCAAGUCGAGCGGCAGCGCGGGGGCAACCCUGGCGGCGAGCGGCGAACGGGUGAGUAAUGCAUCGGAACGUCUCCUCGUGUGGGGGAUAACCCAGCGAACGUUGGGCUAAUACCGCAUGAGCUCUGAGGAGGACAGCGGGGGACCUGCGCGGGCCUCGCGCUGGCGGAGCUGCCGAUGUCCGAUUAGCUAGUUGGUGGGGUAAAGGCUUACCAAGGCGACGAUCGGUAGCUGGUCUGAGAGGAUGAUCAGCAACACUGGGACUGAGACACGGCCCAGACUCCUACGGGAGGCAGCAGUGGGGAAUUUUGGACAAUGGGGGCAACCCUGAUCCAGCCAUGCCGCGUGAGGGAAGAAGGCCUUCGGGUUGUAAAGCGCUUUCGGUCGGAACGAAAUGGGCGGGACUAAUACUCCGGUCUGAUGACGGUACCGUAAGAAUAAGCACCGGCUAACUACGUG
Molecule: ribosomal RNA, 486 nt
Filed under: uncultured bacterium
Lineage: Bacteria
Description: partial 16S ribosomal RNA
Rfam family: Bacterial small subunit ribosomal RNA
Source: RNAcentral